This 167-nucleotide ribosomal RNA is filed under the name Tridentiger barbatus (Shokihaze gobi). RNAcentral's name for it is "partial 12S small subunit ribosomal RNA". Lineage: Eukaryota; Metazoa; Chordata; Actinopteri; Gobiiformes; Gobiidae. The record is from RNAcentral.
CACCGCGGUUAUACGAGAGGCUCAAGUUGACAAACACCGGCAAAAAACGUGGCCUAUAAAGUAUUACACUAAAGCUAAACUUCUUCAAGGCUGUUAUACGCAUUCGAAGAAAAGAGAAUCUUCCACGAAAGUGGCUUUAAAUAAUAUCACCCACGAAAGCUAGGAAA